This 202-nucleotide unclassified non-coding RNA is filed under the name uncultured Sebacinales. Its description in RNAcentral is "sequence contains ITS2". The record is from RNAcentral. Lineage: Eukaryota; Fungi; Basidiomycota; Agaricomycetes; Sebacinales.
UAAUCUCACUACAACCGUCUUUUUGUUGUUGUAUGUGGACUUGGAUGUUGCUGUGUAACAAACAGCUCAUCUGAAAUGCCUGAGUGUACCCUGCUUUGCGGCGUAUUCGGUGUGAUAAAUCUUCACCGGAGUUGACCCUCAGGUCACGUCCACUUGACAUGGCUCUAUGCUUCCAACCGUCCUGACAAGACAAUCUUUGACA